UACGAAGGGGGCUAGCGUUUUUCGGAAUCACUGGGCGUAAAGCGCACGUAGGCGGAUUUGUUAGUCAGGGGUGAAAUCCCGGGGCUCAACCUCGGAACUGCCUUUGAUACUGCAAAUCUCGAGUCCGAUAGAGGUGAGUGGAAUUCCUAGUGUAGAGGUGAAAUUCGUAGAUAUUAGGAAGAACACCAGUGGCGAAGGCGGCUCACUGGAUCGGUACUGACGCUGAGGUGCGAAAGCGUGGGGAGCAAACAGG
RNAcentral lists this ribosomal RNA (253 nucleotides) under uncultured bacterium. RNAcentral's name for it is "partial 16S ribosomal RNA". It matches the Rfam family "Bacterial small subunit ribosomal RNA", at positions 524 to 776 of the family's 1533-position model. The record is from RNAcentral.